UUUCCGUAGGUGAACCUGCGGAAGGAUCAUUAGUGAAUUGAAUAUGUUAGCGGACCUCUUCGGAGUCCCUAGCAUCAAAUCAUAUCCAUAACACCUGUGAACUGUAAGGCUGUCUUGAAACGAAAGUGAUUAGAGCGCCUGCCCAUUUUAUACAAACAUUAAAGUAACAAACGUAGUCUUAUUAUAAUCUAAUAAAACUUUCAACAACGGAUCUCUUGGCUCAC
This 224-nucleotide unclassified non-coding RNA is filed under the name plant metagenome. RNAcentral's name for it is "partial contains small subunit ribosomal RNA, internal transcribed spacer 1, and 5.8S ribosomal RNA". The record is from RNAcentral.